ACGCCCGUAGCUCAAUUGGAUAGAGUUUCAGAUUCCGAUUCUGACGGUUGUGGGUUCGAACCCCGUCGGGCGUACCA
Molecule: transfer RNA, 77 nt
Filed under: Clostridiales bacterium
Lineage: Bacteria; Bacillati; Bacillota; Clostridia; Eubacteriales
Also listed under: 1 other name
Description: tRNA-Arg
Rfam family: tRNA
About the family: Transfer RNA (tRNA) molecules are approximately 80 nucleotides in length.
Source: RNAcentral